This 448-nucleotide ribosomal RNA is filed under the name uncultured bacterium. Its description in RNAcentral is "partial 16S ribosomal RNA". It matches the Rfam family "Bacterial small subunit ribosomal RNA", at positions 330 to 793 of the family's 1533-position model. The record is from RNAcentral.
UCCAGACUCCUACGGGAGGCAGCAGUGGGGAAUAUUGCACAAUGGGGGAAACCCUGAUGCAGCAACGCCGCGUGAGUGAAGAAGUAUUUCGGUAUGUAAAGCUCUCUCAGCAGGGAAGAAGAAAGACGGUACCUGACUAAGAAGCCCCGGCUAACUACGUGCCAGCAGCCGCGGUAAUACGUAGGGGGCAAGCGUUAUCCGGAUUUACUGGGUGUAAAGGGAGCGUAGACGGCGGUGCAAGCCAGAUGUGAAAGCCCGGGGCUCAACCCCGGGACUGCAUUUGGAACUGUGCUGCUAGAGUAUCGGAGAGGCAGGCGGAAUUCCUAGUGUAGCGGUGAAAUGCGUAGAUAUCAGGAGGAACACCGGUGGCGAAGGCGGCCUGCUGGACUGCGACUGACGUUGAGGCCCGAAAGCGUGGGGAGCAAACAGGAUUAGAUACCCGUGUACG